CCAACCCUGAAUAUAAAGAAUAUUAUGAUGUAAUUCUUAUUCUCUUUUUAUACUUUCUGUCAUUAGAGUAAUAAGCUAAAACGUAUUUUUUUCAGCUGAGACGUCACUUGUCGCUACUUAAAAAUAGUACAACACUGUCUGUCAUCGAGCAAGUGCAGCAGAAGUGGAGAUUGUUUUGUAAAGAGCCACCUAAGGGAUUCGAAAAGUUUUAUAAGCCAGGUGAAGGUAAAAAUGGUAAAAAUGCCACCAAGAAAGCAGAAGAGACAAGUAAAAAUGCUAGUA
Molecule: long non-coding RNA, 282 nt
Organism: Wasmannia auropunctata (little fire ant)
Lineage: Eukaryota; Metazoa; Arthropoda; Insecta; Hymenoptera; Formicidae
Exons: 2
Source: RefSeq, a predicted model, not a curated record